Non-coding RNA from Linepithema humile (Argentine ant), 229 nucleotides. Lineage: Eukaryota; Metazoa; Arthropoda; Insecta; Hymenoptera; Formicidae. The record is from RefSeq and is a predicted model, not a curated record.
ACAUCAGAGAUAUCUUCAGAAUCUGGUGAAAUAGAAAUUAAUAGCCAUUGUAGCGAAUCAACUAUAUAUAGUAGUAGUAGAGCAUCUUCUUUUUCUCGGGCAAAACGUUUUAAAGCAUCCUUAUGUUUGGAAGUACUUCUGAUAAUGAUAAUCAAGAAUUAGACAAUUCUAAGGAGAACUCUGAAUGUAAUACUAGCAAGCAAAAAAGAAAAGACAAAAAAACUAAUGG